This 256-nucleotide ribosomal RNA is filed under the name uncultured bacterium. RNAcentral describes it as "partial 16S ribosomal RNA". It matches the Rfam family "Bacterial small subunit ribosomal RNA", at positions 524 to 776 of the family's 1533-position model. The record is from RNAcentral.
UACGUAGGGUCCGAGCGUUGUCCGGAUUUAUUGGGCGUAAAGAGCUCGUAGGCGGUUCGGUAAGUCAGGUGUGAAAUCUCCACGCUCAACGUGGAGGCGCCACCUGAAACUGCCGUGACUCGAGUCCGGUAGGGGAGUGUGGAAGUUCCUGGUGUAGCGGUGAAAUGACGCAGAUAUCAGGAGGAACACCGGUGGCGAAGGCGGGUCUCUGGGCCGAUACUGACGCUGAGGAGCGAAAGCGUGGGGAGCGAACAGG